RNAcentral lists this long non-coding RNA (1029 nucleotides) under Zea mays. RNAcentral describes it as "long non-coding RNA (ZMAY_LNC002673)". Lineage: Eukaryota; Viridiplantae; Streptophyta; Magnoliopsida; Poales; Poaceae. The record is from RNAcentral.
CAGACCGCUCAAGUAUCUUCUAUAAAAGCACAUCUUUCAGCAUUCCCUGAUACUUUUGUUGGUGCUUCUUGUUACGGACUUGUGAUCUGCAAUACACAGAAAGAAAAGAAGCGCCAUUAGACUCGACUCUGCAGCUGCAGCUGGAGAACCACAUGAAAAGGAUAGAAAUAUUUUGUCAGCUAUUGUAAGGAGUAAGGACCGGCCGGAUGCCAACAAAAUCAGCCAGCCAAGCAAGGGCUUCGCCAAAAAAAAAAAUCUAAAAAUCAUGAUUGUGUAUGCUAUGUAUACAAAUAAGAGAACAAACUAGAAGAGUCGAAGAAACGACAACAAGAUUCAUUGACAGUCAAUAGAAGGCACAUAGAAGGUGAAAGGUAGGGGAUGAAUCUGAUUUGAUCUGAAUGCAGUUUGUGUAAAGCCAUCACCCGGCUAUUUUGAACCCCAGCAAAAAAAGAGAGAAAGAUCCGAUCUCUCUAAUAAGAAUCCGUACCAAACAGCACCUUACAGAUGAAUCAAACCAAAAUAAAACCUCAGGUGCUAAUGAACCAAACAGCACCUAAGGUCAUUACCGUUACAGCAAAAAAAAAAAAAGAGAAACAAACGGUGCUAAUGAAUCAAACGCAGCAGCUAGCGCCGGCAACCAUUGCCAUUACCGUUACCACUCCAUCAACCCAACCAAACAGCACCUAAUAAGAAUUUCCCGCCGCCGCCUUUAUUCUAAUCCUGAAUCUAUAAACCAGGUCUGCAGGGAGGCGCUAGGUAUACGAUCGCCGCCGUAUGGCGUCCUCAUCCUACAGCGUGGAUCCGUAAAAAGAAGUGUGAUGGGAACGCGUGGCGGCUGCCGGUGUGCAAGUAGACUGAUAAGGAAGACACAAGGUGGAUUGGUUGGUUGCUGUUACGGCGUUACGUACCUUGCGACGACGACGAGAGCCAAGGCUUCUUCCGGGCGCUGCACUUUUUCAAGGCCAGGGGGCGUCGAGACGAUCGCCGCCGGUGUUCCGGCGAGCUUGGAGAGGUGGGUGCGGGUGGGAU